GCGGCGGUAGCUCAAUGGCAGAGCCUCGCCCUUCCAAGGCGAUGACGCGGGUUCGACUCCCGUCCGCCGCUCCA
This 74-nucleotide transfer RNA is filed under the name Actinomycetota bacterium. RNAcentral describes it as "tRNA-Gly". It matches the Rfam family "tRNA". From Rfam's summary of the family: Transfer RNA (tRNA) molecules are approximately 80 nucleotides in length. Their secondary structure includes four short double-helical elements and three loops (D, anti-codon, and T loops). Further hydrogen bonds mediate the characteristic L-shaped molecular structure. tRNAs have two regions of fundamental functional importance: the anti-codon, which is responsible for specific mRNA codon recognition, and the 3' end, to which the tRNAs corresponding amino acid is attached (by aminoacyl-tRNA synthetases). tRNAs cope with the degeneracy of the genetic code in two manners: having more than one tRNA (with a specific anti-codon) for a particular amino acid; and 'wobble' base-pairing, i.e. permitting non-standard base-pairing at the 3rd anti-codon position. The record is from RNAcentral. Lineage: Bacteria; Bacillati; Actinomycetota.